This 478-nucleotide ribosomal RNA is filed under the name uncultured bacterium. Its description in RNAcentral is "partial 16S ribosomal RNA". It matches the Rfam family "Bacterial small subunit ribosomal RNA", at positions 28 to 507 of the family's 1533-position model. The record is from RNAcentral.
GAUGAACGCUGGCGGCGUGCUUAACACAUGCAAGUCGAACGAGAAGUGAAGACGGAAACCUUCGGGCGGAAGGCUUUAUUUCGAGUGGCGGACGGGUGAGUAACGCGUGGGUAACCUGCCUCAUACAGGGGGAUAACAGUUGGAAACGACUGUUAAUACCGCAUAAGACCACAGCACCGCAUGGUGCGGGGGUAAAAACUCCGGUGGUAUGAGAUGGACCCGCGUUCGAUUAGCCAGUUGGCGGGGUAACGGCCCACCAAAGCGACGAUCGAUAGCCGAUCAGAGAGGAUGACCGGCCACAUUGGGACUGAGACACGGCCCAAACUCCUACGGGAGGCAGCAGUGGGGAAUAUUGCACAAUGGGGGAAACCCUGAUGCAGCGACGCCGCGUGAGUGAAGAAGUAUUUCGGUAUGUAAAGCUCUAUCAGCAGGGAAGAAAAUGACGGUACCUGAGUAAGAAGCCCCGGCUAACUACGUG